GGCCGACUAGCUCAGUUGGUUAGAGCGUGGUACUAAUACGGAUUAGCGUGUUAUGCCAAGGUCGUCAGUUCGAUCCUGGCGUUGGCCA
The sequence is a transfer RNA, 88 nucleotides long. It matches the Rfam family "tRNA". From Rfam's summary of the family: Transfer RNA (tRNA) molecules are approximately 80 nucleotides in length. The record is from Rfam.